Triticum aestivum (bread wheat) is the source of this 3069-nucleotide long non-coding RNA. RefSeq lists it as uncharacterized. The record is from RefSeq and is a predicted model, not a curated record. The transcript has 3 exons. Lineage: Eukaryota; Viridiplantae; Streptophyta; Magnoliopsida; Poales; Poaceae.
AACUCGGAUGAAAAUACUUUCUACAUGAAAGUUGCUCAGAACGACGAUACGAAUCCGGAUACGCAGCCCGUUCGUUCACCACACACCCCUAACAUAUCGAACACGCAACUUUCCCCCUCCGAUUCAUCUCUCCGAAAACGCGAAAAACCGGGAAUACUUUCCCGGAUGUUUCCCCCCUUCGCCGGUAUCACCUGCUACCGUGAUUGGGCCCCCCUAACAACCCUCAUUGUCAUGUCAUGCAUCGUCAUGCAUAUGUUUGCAUUAUAUUUAUUGUUUCUUCCCCCUCUUCUCUCGCUAGACUCCGAUACCGACGCUGCUGCUGCCCAGUUCGACUACGGAGUUGACGACCCCUCCUACUUGCUCGAGCAAACAGGCAAGCCCCCCCUUGAUCACCAGAUAUCGCCUAUUCUUCUCUAUACUGCUUGCAUUAGAGUAGAGUAGCAUGUUACUGCUUUUCGUUAAUCCUAUCUUGAUGCAUAGCCUGUCCUUGCUACUACUGUUGUUACCCUUACCUGCUAUCCUAAUGCUUAGUAUAGGAUGCUAGUGUUCCAUCAGUGGCCCUACACUCUUGUCCGUCUGCCAUGCUAUACUACUGGGCCAUGCUAUACUAGUGUCCCGCGCACGCCGCCUGCCACAGAGGCUGCGCCGGCUCGCCGACCGGGGCCACCACCCCGGAGUCCGUGGUCCUUCGCAAGGGGAACGAAGCGACGAGAGGCCUCGCCGCCACCUUCAUCGGCGGCCGCCGCGGCUUGCCUGGCGUCCCUCAGGUGGCGGCUAGGGGAGGAGAUGCUGGAGGGGGUGGCGGCGCCGGGGGAAAACCUAGUCGCCCCCGGGUCGCCCGCGGGGGACGACACGGGAGCCGCGCGUGAGUUCCUUCGUGUAUAUUCUCUAGCUCACUAUAUUGUUUCCUAGCAGUAAGCUUUUGCUAGCUUCUUAGAUUUGAUCUGUAUGAAUACUUGAUUAGUUCAUUUUCAUUUAUAGCAUUGUAGAUGUUCGCCUCUGCUAGUCGAUUUCCAUAAUGGAACAUGCAGUUUAGGUGGGCCAAACAGCCGGUAAGCUUAAGAAUCGGUGGUAAGCUCUUGCAAGAACUUGCAAGCUUCUUGUGUUAAAUUUCAUUUAUGUGCCUGUAUUUGUUCUUGAAUCCUUGUUCUUUUUGUGUACUUUAUACGGAGGUUGCAGUAACUCACAGCACUACAGUUUUCUUUCCCUGUACUUUGUAACAUAUAGCUGUACAUAGUUACUAUUUUUUGCGUUUUGAUUAAAAUGAGAACAUAAUUCUUAUGAUCUAAAAUGUCCAUAUAAUGUAUCUCUUCUAGAUAGAAAGGUGUGCAGAAGGGAUUUGUACCAAUUGGUAGCAAUUGAACAGGAAGAUGCUUAGUAAGGAUAAAAUAGUAGAAGAGCACUAGAGGAUGCUUGAAGGAAUUGUAAAGGGGAAUGAGAAGUGUCGCAAAAGAAUCAAUUCCGCUGGCAUCGAUUACGAGUGUCCAGCCCCUGUAAGUAACACUUGAUGCUGUUCAUUGAUUUAAUAAAUUGAUCUUACUUCAUCAGAUUUGAAUUAGCUCAGCAAUUUGCCACAUAAUUGUAAUUGUAUUAAGAAAAUUUCAACUUUUUGUUGACCUGGAGCGAAAGGCAUGCAAUUGUAGUGCCCUAGAGCCAAAUUUGCCAUGUGUUACUGUGUAGGUCCUUGAUAUUUAUAGUACUGGUUGUUUAUUCUUAUCUACAUUUGCUUACUGAAAUAAUUUAUGUAUUGGCACCAAGGUUCGUCCCAGGCUUUGCUUAACCAUAUUUUGAGUUGUGCUUCAAUUGUUUUUCGUUUCAUGCCGUAUGCGGCAGUUACUCUCUGGAGAUAACUUGUACCGAAUAAAUAGUGCAUAAUUGAUCACUACAUUAGCUCCAUGUUCUCAUGUAAAAAUGCAGCUCCAUGACCCGCUUGAAAGAGAGGAGAAGGUUUGCCUCCCGUCCGUCUCAUCCCAUCCCCUUGUGCCAGCCAUGAAAGAGAGGAGGGAGAGCAGAAAGGAGCGUGGUGGCAAUGCGCCGAUGCUGGCCGGUUGAGGCAUGGUCGACGUGUCAGUCAAGGGGUCCCUGCAUUUGUGAUCUAUGAUGGUUGGCUCGCUGUGGCGGUCGGCGAUGGAAUAAUUGUGAGGGAGAGCACCCCUUUAGCGCCUCUCCGCAUAGUUCUUCCUUCCCCUACCGCCGGCCAACAGUUCGAGAUCCUUGUCCAAGGCCGGUGUGUACAGUUUCAGCCUCGUUCCCAUGGAUGGCAAAGUCUGCCUUGUCGUGAUGUGCAAGUACACACAUAGGCAUACCAGCAGAAUCGUUAUUGAUUUAUCCAUACAGUUUCAUGUAUAGAUUGACAUUUAUUUGGAGCAAGUGCUGUUGAUUUAUUUUAUUCAACGCCACGAGUGUUCAGUGUUGAUUUUGUGGGCAGGCGUUUUAGUGAGCUAGCAAGGGGGCGCAGUGGAUCUGUCAUCAUUUUGUUUAAAAUGGUUGAAAGAUGUUCAACGUUGGCUCUAUAUUUUCAAGGAUUUUGUCAGACUAUGAUGGGUGUACGACAAUUUUGGUCUUACUGAUUUCGUCCGGGAGACAAUCAGAUAAGACAGACACUUGACCCCCAACUAACCACAUCUAGCUUAGCUUCACUAGCCGCCAUUAACUAAUCACUCACUCAACUCAUAGCUUGGUGUCGUUCUGAAUGAUUCCAUAUCCGUUACGUAGAUUCAACUGGAUGCUCUUGCUUGAUCCCUAAAUUAUGUCCUACUCCUACUAAAUUAUUAGAAACUAUGUACUCGAUUCAUGGAAUCUGUCGAGAAAUGUAUGCACCUUUUCCUUGCAUAUUUAUACUAGGGGCAUCAUUUUGAAGUUAGUAUUCAUUUCGUGAUACACUACACAUUACCAUUCAUUCUGUGCUAGCAAAAUAUUUGUUUAUAUAGCUUGCUAUCAUCUAAUUUAAGAUUGAAUUUCCUCAAUGUAAAUUCUCAAAUAUGCGGGCAACAUGGACCUCAAGAUAGGUAAGCAAGAGAAGGACCAGUUCCUAAUCAUUCUGUUUGUUCUUCUUGGACUGUCGUUGUU